This 253-nucleotide ribosomal RNA is filed under the name uncultured bacterium. RNAcentral's name for it is "partial 16S ribosomal RNA". It matches the Rfam family "Bacterial small subunit ribosomal RNA", at positions 524 to 776 of the family's 1533-position model. The record is from RNAcentral.
UACAGGGGGCGCGAGCGUUGCUCGGAAUCACUGGGCGUAAAGCGCACGCAGGCGGACCGUUAAGUCGCAUGUGAAAGCCCGGGGCUCAACCCCGGAAGUGCAUGCGAAACUGGCGGUCUUGAGUACGGGAGAGGUGGGUGGAAUUCCUGGUGUAGAGGUGAAAUUCGUAGAUAUCAGGAGGAACACCGGUGGCGAAAGCGGCCCACUGGCCCGAUACUGACGCUCAUGUUCGAAAGCGUGGGGAGCAAACGGG